This 161-nucleotide ribosomal RNA is filed under the name uncultured bacterium. RNAcentral describes it as "partial 16S ribosomal RNA". It matches the Rfam family "Bacterial small subunit ribosomal RNA", at positions 352 to 509 of the family's 1533-position model. The record is from RNAcentral.
CAGUGAGGAAUAUUGGUCAAUGGGCGGAAGCCUGAACCAGCCAAGUCGCGUGAGGGAAUAAGGCCCUACGGGUCGUAAACCUCUUUUGCCGGGGAGCAAGGGCGGGGACGUGUCCCGGCCCGGAGAGUACCCGGAGAAAAAGCAUCGGCUAACUCCGUGCC